AUUGAACGCUGGCGGCAUGCCUUACACAUGCAAGUCGAACGGCAGCAUGAUCUAGCUUGCUAGAUUGAUGGCGAGUGGCGCACGGGUGAGUAAUACAUCGGAACGUGCCCUGUAGUGGGGGAUAACUAGUCGAAAGAUUAGCUAAUACCGCAUACGACCUGAGGGUGAAAGUGGGGGACCGCAAGGCCUCAUGCUAUAGGAGCGGCCGAUGUCUGAUUAUCUAGUUGGUGAGGUAAAGGCUCACCAAGGCGACGAUCAGUAGCUGGUCUGAGAGGACGAGCAGCCACACUGGGACUGAGACACGGCACAGACUCCUACGGGAGGCAGCAGUGGGGAAUUGUGGACAAUGGGAGAAAGCAUGAUACAGCAAUGCCGCGUGUGUGAAGAAGGCAUUCGGGUUGUAAAGAAAUUUUGUCCGGAAAGAAAUGGCUCUGGUUAAUACCUGGGGUCGAUGACGGUACCGGAAGAAUAAGGACCGGCUAACUACGUG
This 490-nucleotide ribosomal RNA is filed under the name uncultured bacterium. Its description in RNAcentral is "partial 16S ribosomal RNA". It matches the Rfam family "Bacterial small subunit ribosomal RNA", at positions 30 to 507 of the family's 1533-position model. The record is from RNAcentral.